GGCGACCGGCGCACGGGUGAGUAACACGUAUCCAACCUGCCGUCUACUCUUGGACAGCCUUCUGAAAGGAAGAUUAAUACAAGAUGGCAUCAUGAGUCCGCAUGUUCACAUGAUUAAAGGUAUUCCGGUAGACGAUGGGGAUGCGUUCCAUUAGAUAGUAGGCGGGGUAACGGCCCACCUAGUCUUCGAUGGAUAGGGGUUCUGAGAGGAAGGUCCCCCACAUUGGAACUGAGACACGGUCCAAACUCCUACGGGAGGCAGCAGUGAGGAAUAUUGGUCAAUGGGCGAGAGCCUGAACCAGCCAAGUAGCGUGAAGGAUGACUGCCCUAUGGGUUGUAAACUUCUUUUAUAAAGGAAUAAAGUCGGGUAUGGAUACCCGUUUGCAUGUACUUUAUGAAUAAGGAUCGGCUAACUCCGUGCCAGCAGCCGCGGUAAUACGGAGGAUCCGAGCGUUAUCCGGAUUUAUUGGGUUUAAAGGGAGCGUAGAUGGAUGUUUAAGUCAGUUGUGAAAGUUUGCGGCUCAACCGUAAAAUUGCAGUUGAUACUGGAUAUCUUGAGUGCAGUUGAGGCAGGCGGAAUUCGUGGUGUAGCGGUGAAAUGCUUAGAUAUCACGAAGAACUCCGAUUGCGAAGGCAGCCUGCUAAGCUGCAACUGACAUUGAGGCUCGAAAGUGUGGGUAUCAAACAGGAUUAGAUACCCUGGUAGUCCACACGGUAAACGAUGAAUACUCGCUGUUUGCGAUAUACUGCAAGCGGCCAAGCGAAAGCGUUAAGUAUCCCACCUGGGGAGUACGCCGGCAACGGUGAAACUCAAAGGAAUUGACGGGGGCCCGCACAAGCGGAGGAACAUGUGGUUUAAUUCGAUGAUACGCGAGGAACCUUACCCGGGCUUAAAUUGCAGAUGAAUUACGGUGAAAGCCGUAAGCCGCAAGGCAUCUGUGAAGGUGCUGCAUGGUUGUCGUCAGCUCGUGCCGUGAGGUGUCGGCUUAAGUGCCAUAACGAGCGCAACCCUUGUUGUCAGUUACUAACAGGUUCCGCUGAGGACUCUGACAAGACUGCCAUCGUAAGAUGUGAGGAAGGUGGGGAUGACGUCAAAUCAGCACGGCCCUUACGUCCGGGGCUACACACGUGUUACAAUGGGGGGUACAGAGGGCCGCUACCACGCGAGUGGAUGCCAAUCCCCAAAACCUCUCUCAGUUCGGACUGGAGUCUGCAACCCGACUCCACGAAGCUGGAUUCGCUAGUAAUCGCGCAUCAGCCACGGCGCGGUGAAUACGUUCCCGGGCCUUGUACACACCGCCCGUCAAGCCAUGGGAGCCGGGGGUACCUGAAGUGCGUAACCGCGAGGAGCGCCCUAGGGUAAAACUGGUGACUGGGGCUAAGUCGUAACAAGGUAGCCGU
This 1400-nucleotide ribosomal RNA is filed under the name uncultured bacterium. Its description in RNAcentral is "16S ribosomal RNA". It matches the Rfam family "Bacterial small subunit ribosomal RNA". The record is from RNAcentral.